This 253-nucleotide ribosomal RNA is filed under the name uncultured bacterium. Its description in RNAcentral is "partial 16S ribosomal RNA". It matches the Rfam family "Bacterial small subunit ribosomal RNA", at positions 524 to 776 of the family's 1533-position model. The record is from RNAcentral.
UACGGGGGGUGCGAGCGUUGUCCGGAAUCACUGGGCGUAAAGGGCGCGUAGGUGGUUUGAUAAGGGUGUGGUGAAAGCCCGGAGCUCAACUCCGGGUCUGCCGUGCCGACUGUCAAACUCGAGGGCUGUAGAGGCAGACGGAAUUCCGGGUGUAGCGGUGGAAUGCGUAGAGAUCCGGAGGAAGACCAGUGGCGAAGGCGGUCUGCUGGGCAGUUUCUGACACUGAUGCGCGACAGCGUGGGGAGCAAACAGG